UGCAUAGGUUAUGGGAUGUAUGGAUGCACAGGGUUAUGGGAUGCACGGGUUAUGGGAUGUAAGGGUUAUGGGAUGCACGGACUGUGGAUGGAUGGAUGGCGCUGGGAGAUGCACGAGACGCACGGAGCCGUGGGGCGCUGAGGCUGCGGGCUGUACGCGUGACACGUGCCGGCUCUCGGGGGCCGCCCGGGCAGUCCGGGGGUUGCGGGGCCGAGCGCACGUUCCCCCCCCACUCCCCCCCCCUCCCCACCCGUACGUGCGCGCGGCGCCGGGGCUGAUGGCUCCUGCAGCUGCCGCGGGGGGCGGGGAGCCGCGGCCGGGCGCGGUGCGGCGCGGAGCAGCGCGGGCGCCUCCGUCCGUCCGCGGGCGCCGUCCGUCCCUCCGCGCCGCCGCCGCCGCCGCCGCUCCCCCGCAGCGUAAGUGCCGCACCGCCGCCGUGCCGUUCCCGGUGGCUGCGGAGGAGCGCGGCGCGGGUCGGGGGCGCCCGGCGGGGUCGACAGGUCCGGGGGGCGACCCGGUUGAUGGCCCCAGAAGAGGCCCAAUGGAAGAAGGGCUGAUCGACUAUGGCGGCGAGAGGAC
RNAcentral lists this long non-coding RNA (579 nucleotides) under Gallus gallus (chicken). The record is from RNAcentral. Lineage: Eukaryota; Metazoa; Chordata; Aves; Galliformes; Phasianidae.